Molecule: ribosomal RNA, 327 nt
Filed under: uncultured eukaryote
Lineage: Eukaryota
Description: partial 18S ribosomal RNA
Rfam family: Eukaryotic small subunit ribosomal RNA
Source: RNAcentral
CCCUUAGAUGUUCUGGGCCGCACGCGCGCUACACUGAUUCAUGCAACAAGUUUUGUCCUUGGCUGAUAGGCCUGGGUAAUCUUUGAACGUGAAUCGUGAUGGGGAUAGAUGAUUGCAAUUAUUCAUCUUCAACGAGGAAUUCCUAGUAAACGCAAGUCAUCAGCUUGCAUUGAUUACGUCCCUGCCCUUUGUACACACCGCCCGUCGCACCUACCGAUUGAAUGGUCCGGUGAAAUCUUCGUAUCUGAGAGAUGUCUGAUUAAUUUCGGACGCCUUUUGGAAAAGUUGUUUAAACCUUACCAUUUAGAGGAAGGUGAAGUCGUAACA